UAAUCAUCUUUAAGGGAAAUAUUUUGAGUUUCAUCAGACACAUACGCAGCUGAGCUUUGUGUCCACACACUGAGUGCCCUGGGGCCAAACAAAACACGGUAAUAGUGACCUUGCUGAGAGAUGAUGUCACAUUGGGAGAAAGGUUCCCUUUGUAUUGACUCUAAGUGUCCAGUUCAUGAGUCCUAAGCCUUGAGCUAGGAAAUGCCCUUUUCUGCCCUGGGAAGCAGGCUCCUAGAUUGUGUGUUUCUCUGUCUCCUGGUCUAGCCUGGGCACAGACAGGGCACCCCCUCAUGAACUUGUUACAUCCGGGCUGUGACUUUCAGCACCAGGUGGUCCUUUGCUCUGACUUCAAUUUCUGUGUCCUUCUCUCCUAAACCCCAUGGAUGCUGAGUGACUCAGACUCCAGUCAUGUGCUUGUGCCAAAAGGAAACCAGCACGAGAGGAGACCCAGAAGAUCCCUCUGUCCUGUAGCACCUGCCAUGAGCAUCGGCCUCCUGUGCUGUGCGGCCUUUUCUCUCCUGUGGGCAGGUCCUGCAAAUGCUGGUGUCACUCAGAGCCCAAAAUUCCAGAUCCUGAAGACAGGACAGAGCAUGACAGUGCAGUGUGCCCAGGAUAUGAACCAUAACUCCAUGUACUGGUAUCGACAAGACCCAGGCAUGGGGCUCAGGCUGAUUCAUUACUCAGCUGCUGAGGGUACCACUGACCCAGGAGAAAUCCCCGAUGGCUACAGUGUCUCCAGAUUAAACAAAACGGAUUUCCUGCUCAGGCUGGAGUCCGCUGCUCCCUCCCAGACAUCUGUGUACUUCUGUGCCAGCAGUGAAGACACAGUGCUGCACGGCCGUCUCCUCUCUGUACAUAAAGGCAGGGAGGCUCUGCCCUCCUCUCUCACCCCAAACUCAGUGAUGCCCUGA
Cercocebus atys (sooty mangabey) is the source of this 911-nucleotide non-coding RNA. Lineage: Eukaryota; Metazoa; Chordata; Mammalia; Primates; Cercopithecidae. The record is from the annotation of a RefSeq genome assembly.